This 1010-nucleotide long non-coding RNA is filed under the name Medicago truncatula (barrel medic). RNAcentral's name for it is "lncRNA gene47067". The record is from RNAcentral. Lineage: Eukaryota; Viridiplantae; Streptophyta; Magnoliopsida; Fabales; Fabaceae.
UCACUCACAUCAACAACCACAACCUUAACAGACUUCUCAUCCUCAACAACUUCAAGAAGAACAAGCGCUGACCCAGAUCGUGACUUCUCAUCCUCUCACAUAGAACCUCAUAUCCUCGCACCAAGACACGGUUUUGAAACAACAAACGCUGACCCAGAUUGUGACUCUCCUUCACCAUCGCUGAAACAACGUUUGGUAUCGAAGCUACCACCAACAACUGAAAGCAAAUCACCAUCAAAGAUCUCUUCUUCAUCUAAAUACAAAUCAUCAAUACUCUGAAACGCCUCAUUCAAAACAACCACCGCAACACCGACGAGCACCGACACGACUCACGAGGACGUUAAGCCAACGCCGGUGAAGACAAGAGCUACGACGGUGAGAGCGGUGAGUAGGAGGAGGAGGAAGAGGUCGUCGAUGGUGAAACGGAAGAGGACGAAGGGCGGUCAUGGAAGAAGAAGAGCAAGAACUAGGCAGCGAUGACGGCGAGGAAGUUGAGGUUGAAGGGAGAGAGUUUUGGAAGUUGGUAGGUAUGUGAUGUGGAAAAUGGGAAGUGCUGUUUUUUUUAAUGAUUUGCUGGGUUUUUUUUAUGAAGAUCAUGAACAAGAAGAUGAAGAUAUGAUAAGGGCAGUUUGGUAAUCAAUUGUUUUUAUGAAGAUUAUGAACAAGAAGAAGAAGGUGAAGAUCUAACGGUUCAUUUUAUGAUAAAUAGAUCAAAUGGUUAAAAUUAACAAAAUUAAUAAGGUCUACGAUGGACUAUUUUUAAGGUUGGUCCACCAUAUACAUUUGAAGUUAAAGUUAAUAGUUGGGAUUCAUUUGGCAAAUUGAGAAAAAAGUGAGGGACUAAAAUGUACGUUUUAUUAAUUGUAGGACCAAAAUGAAAACUUGAAAUUAUUUAAGGGACCAUUGAAUCAAAUAAGCCUAUAUUUUCUUGUAAUUUGCAAUUUAAUUUUUUAAGGGUGUUUUUUUAGCUGCCUAACGUGAACAUUUGGUUGAGGCUUUUAAUAUUUUUA